GCUGAUCUUCAUGGAAGGGAAUCCUGGGGCCUAAAGUGGAGUCAUCUCCUUCCCGAGAGGAUUUCCAUUGGCUCCGCUGGCAGCCAGGGAGCUCUGCAGACUUUCUUCUCCUUCUAGGGUCUCAGCUAACAUGAAAGCACCAGGUUCAGCCCCUCCCAGGACUCAGUCUUUCUGUAGAUUGCAGUCCUGAUAUUGACAUUUGCCCUCAAAACAAAGAAGUUGCAAGAAUAGUACAAAGAACUCUCAUACUCACUUCAUCCGGAUUCUCCAGGUGGAGUCUAGCAGCCUUCUCCACUGCAAAGCACUAGUUUGCCCUUUAACCGAUCUUCCUCGACUUAAAUGGAGUUACGUCCCAAUGAAGCCAUCGUAACUUGAAAAUAUCGUAAGCUGAAAUGCAUUUAACAUGUGCAAACCACCGAGCGCCACAGCUUAGCCCAGCCUGCCUUAAAUGUGCUCAGAACCCUUACGUUAGUCUGCAGUUGGGCAAAGUCACCUAACACAAAGUCUAUUUUAUGAUCGUGUGCUGAACGUCUCAUGUAAUUCACUGAUUACUGGACUGAAAGUGAGAAACAGAAUGGUCGUGUGGGUGCAGAAUGGUUGUCAGUGUAUGGGUUGUUUACCCUCGUGAUCGCGUGGCUGACGGGGAGCUGCGGGUGCUGCUGCCGCCCAGCAUCACGAGAGAGGAUCCGACGGCAGAUCGCUAGCCCUGGAAAAGAUCGAAACGCAAAAAGCGAAGCACGAUUUCUACUGAAUGCCACUUCUAAUGAAGUGGGACCACUGGAAGUCGGGGACCAGCUGUAUGACGUUCGUCAAACAGCGAUUUUCUAACUUCGUUCCAUUUACAAUUAUUUGGUAGUAUUCCACUAUGAGAAAAAGCAUUUCUUCCUCCCCACAGUACGGACUCAUGGAUUCCCGUUACAGUCGAUGUGAUGAAAUUCGUUACUAUCAUUAUUUAUUUUCAUUCUCAAAUCGUCCUGUAUUUAGCCAGCGGGAGCUCCUUCGAGAAGGCUGGCUUCUAUGUUCUUCUGAUGUGUCUCCCGUUUCUUAAGUGCUUCCUUACUUCCUGGGUUAAUAAAAUAUUCCAGGUGCAUCUUGUCCCUUCCUUACCCUAGCCCUGGAAUCAGCCGUUUCUCCAAAAAGCCCUGGUUCCUUAUAGAGGAAAAUGGUAUUUAGGAACCGUGUAGUACCAAGAUCUGGGCACCAUAUGUGGUCAUUGUUACUGGAGUUUCAUUACUUCUAGGCCCUAAUAGUUGACAGAGCUAAUAAAUAUAUGUAUGUGUGCACAUACACACAUACACACACACCCUUACAGGUAACUCUGUCUCUGUCUCUCUGUCUACCUAAAUUUCAGGUUCAUACUGAUGCCUCCAGUCCCAGUCCAACACCAGAAGGCUCCUUGUUCAUUCCAGUCUUGCGUCUUUCCAUAUUUGCAACUUUCUUUUCUGAUGAGAAAAUUGGUUCCCAUUAUCCUUAAUAUAUUUGCUUACUUGCUUAAUCCUAUAAUGCACUGAAAGUGGUUUCAGAACUACUAAGCCACAGCACACAUGAAACCAACCUACCGAUUAGACCCAGUGUUUGUUUGCAAUUCUUUCUGUCUUUAUUCUGAAGAUGUUAUAGUUGAAAGGUAGCUUUGCCCCUUCUGUGUGGUUAUGAAUAACAUUUUAAUAUGGGUAGGUUCAUUUGUUUCUCUUUGUAUUCCAUUUUAGCGUUUUUCCCCCAUCUUUAUUGAUUUUAUUUUUUUUUAGUAUAUCAGGAACAAAGGCAAAAUUAUGCAAAAAGGGUAUUCACAGAAGCGUCACUCCCUCCCACCAUCCUUUCCUACCCUCUCAUCCCCUCCGCCCUGUUUCUCUUCACCCCCCUUAGGUAACCAAUCUCUCUACUUUUGGGUAUCUUUUCCUCAUAUUUCUUUUUGCAAAAAUAAGCGGAUACAUGUAUAUUUUCUUAUUUCUUCUUCUUUCCUACAUAAAAGGUAUAAAUACUAUAAAAACUCUUUUGUGUCUACUUUUUUAAACUUUCAACUAUGUCAAUUCAUGUGGAUCCUCCCUAUUCUAUUUCAGCCGCGCAAUACUCCACUGUGAGCUGCACCAUUCCUUAUAUUUACAUCCCUCAAGUUUCCUAUAUUCUGCAAUUUCAAACAGAACUGUCCUGAAUAACCUUGAGCACAUUUACUUUUGUGUUGUUGGAGAUGCACCUUCAGGGUCAAUUCCU
Equus caballus (horse) is the source of this 2208-nucleotide long non-coding RNA. The record is from Ensembl. NCBI's taxonomy places the organism in Eukaryota, Metazoa, Chordata, Mammalia, Perissodactyla, Equidae.